UACGUAGGGGGCAAGCGUUGUCCGGAUUCAUUGGGCGUAAAGAGCGUGUAGGCGGCCAGGUAGGUCGGUUGUGAAAACUGGAGGCUCAACCUUCAGAGGUCGACCGAAACCAUCUGGCUAGAGUCCGGGAGAGGAGAGUGGAAUUCCUGGUGUAGCGGUGAAAUGCGCAGAUAUCAGGAGGAACACCGGUGGCGAAGGCGGUUCUCUGGGCCUGUACUGACGCUGGAGGAGCGAAAGCGUGGGGAGCGAACAGG
Molecule: ribosomal RNA, 254 nt
Filed under: uncultured bacterium
Lineage: Bacteria
Description: partial 16S ribosomal RNA
Rfam family: Bacterial small subunit ribosomal RNA
Source: RNAcentral